UACGGAGGGAGCUAGCGUUGUUCGGAAUUACUGGGCGUAAAGCGCACGUAGGCGGCUUUGCAAGUUAGAGGUGAAAGCCCGGGGCUCAACUCCGGAAUUGCCUUUAAAACUGCAUCGCUAGAGUUGUGGAGAGGUAAGUGGAAUUCCGAGUGUAGAGGUGAAAUUCGUAGAUAUUCGGAAGAACACCAGUGGCGAAGGCGACAUCCUGGACACCAACUGACGCUGAGACGCGAAAGCGUGGGGAGCAAACAGG
RNAcentral lists this ribosomal RNA (253 nucleotides) under uncultured bacterium. RNAcentral's name for it is "partial 16S ribosomal RNA". It matches the Rfam family "Bacterial small subunit ribosomal RNA", at positions 524 to 776 of the family's 1533-position model. The record is from RNAcentral.